UAUAUAUAAAUGUAUGAGGCAUAUAAAAUUUUGAAUUUUAAGGAAAUAGUUUAAUUCUAUUAUAUAUAU
This 69-nucleotide transfer RNA is filed under the name Xorides funiuensis. RNAcentral describes it as "tRNA-Gln". Lineage: Eukaryota; Metazoa; Arthropoda; Insecta; Hymenoptera; Ichneumonidae. The record is from RNAcentral.